This 468-nucleotide ribosomal RNA is filed under the name uncultured bacterium. RNAcentral describes it as "partial 16S ribosomal RNA". It matches the Rfam family "Bacterial small subunit ribosomal RNA", at positions 28 to 507 of the family's 1533-position model. The record is from RNAcentral.
GACGAACGCUGGCGGCGUGCUUAACACAUGCAAGUCGAACGGUAAGGCCCCACCUUGCUGGGGCGCACGAGUGGCGAACGGGUGAGUAACACGUGAGCAACCUGCCCCUGACUCUGGGAUAACUGCUGGAAACGGCGGCUAAUACUGGAUAGGAGCUCCGUCCGCAUGGUCGCUUUCUGAAAGGUUCGGCGGUUGGGGAUGGGCUCGCGGCCUAUCAGCUUGUUGGUGGGGUAAUGGCUUACCAAGGCGUCGACGGGUAGCCGGCCUGAGAGGGCGACCGGCCACACUGGGACUGAGACACGGCCCAGACUCCUACGGGAGGCAGCAGUGGGGAAUAUUGCACAAUGGGCGGAAGCCUGAUGCAGCGACGCCGCGUGAGGGAUGACGGCCUUCGGGUUGUAAACCGCUUUCAGCAGGGAAGAAGCGAAAGUGACGGUACCGGCAGAAGAAGCACCGGCUAACUACGUG